AUAGGUUGCAGCAUCAUCAGCCUCCACAGGAUUGAUGGUGAGUGUGAAGUCUGUCCCAGACCCACUGCCACUGAACCUGGCAGGGACCCCAGAUGCUAGGUUGGAUGCAAGAUAGAUGAGGAGUUUGGGUGGCUGUCCUGGUUUCUGCUGGUACCA
Long non-coding RNA from Apodemus sylvaticus (European woodmouse), 156 nucleotides. RefSeq lists it as uncharacterized. The transcript has 2 exons. Lineage: Eukaryota; Metazoa; Chordata; Mammalia; Rodentia; Muridae. The record is from RefSeq and is a predicted model, not a curated record.